This 28-nucleotide small RNA is filed under the name Bombyx mori (domestic silkworm). RNAcentral describes it as "ovarian small RNA-22117". The record is from RNAcentral. Lineage: Eukaryota; Metazoa; Arthropoda; Insecta; Lepidoptera; Bombycidae.
UAGAUCUCAGGGGUAUAUCUCAGGGGUC